RNAcentral lists this unclassified non-coding RNA (387 nucleotides) under soil metagenome. RNAcentral's name for it is "partial contains 5.8S ribosomal RNA, internal transcribed spacer 2, and large subunit ribosomal RNA". The stretch from base 1 to 120 matches the Rfam family "5.8S ribosomal RNA", at positions 35 to 154 of the family's 154-position model. The record is from RNAcentral.
GAUGAAGAACGUAGCGAAAUGCGAUAAGUAAUGUGAAUUGCAGAAUUCAGUGAAUCAUCGAAUCUUUGAACGCACCUUGCACCCUUUGGUAUUCCGAAGGGUAUGCUCGUUUGAGAGUCAUUGUACUCUCACACUUCUAAUUCCUUUCGGGAUUGGGAGCGGUGGACUUGGGUGUUGCUGCUUUAGUUGUGGCUCACCUCAAAUAAGUUAGUGCAACUCUUGGUUGGACAUAGUACGGCGUGAUAAGUGUCUUCGCCGGCGCCUCUGUAAGGAGGGUGGCCGAUCGGGAGCUCUGUGCUUCAAACCGUCUUCGGACAAUCUUUGACAACUUGACCUCAAAUCGAGUAGGACUACCCGCUGAACUUAAGCAUAUCAAUAAGCGGAGGA